RNAcentral lists this long non-coding RNA (463 nucleotides) under Homo sapiens (human). Its description in RNAcentral is "HSALNT0328509". The record is from RNAcentral. Lineage: Eukaryota; Metazoa; Chordata; Mammalia; Primates; Hominidae.
CUCGCGCCCAACAGAAAUGGGCGACCGCAAGUCUUACUCUCGCCGGCGUUACAAAGAUUAUUUAAAUUUUCCACAAAUUUCUACGGAUUAAUUCAAUGGCAGCUCACUUUCUCCUUUUAUGAUCGGAUGGGUCCGAAAGUGAGGAAAAAGACAAUUGUCUACAAAGAAAGAGGCUGCCAAGUGGAGACAGAAAAGCAGUUAUGAGACUGAUGAUAGAUUCCAAUUUGUUAUCGAAAGGAAGGAGGAGACCUGAACAGUACAUCCGGAGAAUCCAGCAAAGCAUACUACGGCAUGAACGUGCAAGUGGACAGAAUUAAAACACAUGCCAGAAACACUAAUGGAUUCUAAACAAGAUGCAGUUUCAUUUCCUGAGCCUAUACGUGAUGUUUUUAACUGUUCUCCAGUUAAUAUGUCUCCAUUUCCAGAAAUCUAACAGGAGAAUCUCUGACUGCUUAACAGAUCA